AUUAAUUAGAGAGAGAGAAUAGAAUGAAUAUAUAGAAAUUCAUACUUAUCUUUGAUUUGAAUCUGCAAUUCAUCUAAUACCCGUAUCAACACUUCGUCGCAAGUUACGUCCCUUAGCAAGGUCAGCCAAAGGUCAAUCGGUGAAAAACCAAGUUUUCCUUCUUUACCUUACCAAAUGUAAGACGUUAUUACUUUGAAUUUUAGCCAAUUACCAAGUUUUCAAACAAGUUAAUGGGUUGCCCUAAUCUGGGGCAUUAUUCUAGCUGACUGCAAUUGAUGGAAAAAUAACAGAUGUCAAUGCUAUAGAAAGGAAAAUUACAAAGGCCAACGUAGGGAAAUAGGAUUUUUAUCCGGGAGAUGGCGGACGAGGGACCUAACUUGCCUGAAGUGUUGAUACGUGUAUACUCAUGAAUAUGCACACCAGUUUAACGGGGGAAAAACUAGACGCAAAUAGGAAACAAAAUAAAUGCGAUAGGAAGAAAUACAAUUUCUCUGAAGAAAACGGAAGACAAACGGUCUGUGAGUAUAAUAAAUAAAUAUAAAACUUUCAGGAGACCGAUAUUACAAAAUAAUGGGUAAACCUUGUUAUUUUGUACAGGUUUUACAAAGUACUUCGGUGUUUUCUUUCUCCUAUAUUAGAUUACUUUAAACUGUCCAUUUCAUAUAGCUUUUUCGUUUUAUUUCGUCAUUUGUCGAUAGCAGACGUACAAAAAUAUUGAUACCAAUGUAAUGUCAUCACCAAGACCGAAAGAAUAAAUAUGCUUCGCGCACCUAGGGAUUCGAAAUCUAAGAGACCGUAUUACAGGACAGGAGAAGCUGAUUCAGUAGCCAAAUCAAGAGAUGUGGUACGGGUAACGGUAAAGACGGCGACUAGUACAAGACUGUAUAUUGCAUAUACAACGUGCACGCCAGAACAGGAAAUAACUUUUCUGGUUUCCGCCAUUAUAUCUGCCGACGAAUAUUAAAUUAUUUCUACGUAGAUAUGAGGCUAGAAAGCCUGUGUGAUUGCCGAGAUUUUACACACUGGAUAAAAACACACACCACGUGUGUUUUCUUCCACUCUUUAACAGUAAACAGUAUACAGUUAUUGACUGGAUCCGAGGAUUCAGCUGUUUUGUUUGACCCAAGAACGGAUCGAUUGCCCGAAGCCAGAGGCUAAAAAAACCCCAGCUGUUGUCCUAGGACACAGUUUAUAACUAUUUUGUUAAACACCUACGUUUUUAAGGUUGUUUCUACUAGACGUAAAUGGUCUGCCAUGGUUUGUUUACUUUGAACUUUUAACAAGACAAUGUAAUUGCGUACGUUUAUCAACGUAUCCACUAGUUUAAAAGAAAAUAUACCCAAUAUUCUACAGAAUUGAUAAUCAAUAAUUCAAUUUUUCCUGAUUCUGCUCUGUAUUGAAUGAGAAAAAUCUGUAUAUCAUAAGGUGUCAAUCAAAUAAUUGAACCUCGCCAUUACGUAUAUAAGCAAAGCAGCAGACCGAAAACCACGUGACUUGGGUAUCCAAUGGAAAUGGAGCAGACUAUUGCCCGGUCAACAGUUAUCGGUCAAUAGACCACGAGUGUGAAAGUUAGUUCAACAGUUUAAAUGUUGGUUCUAAAUCGUAUUAGUUUAAUAUAGGAAAAAAUCAAGGUGUUUAACAAAUUAUACUAUGCCUUUUCUAUUUUGUAAUGGCUAAAUUUUGUUUCUGGAACAAUGAAAUCAGAAAUAGCAGUUACAUAUGACCAUGUUGUGUACGAUUCAACGAGUGUUCAAGUUAAGUUCAAGCCAGAAUGAGAGAUCGAAGCUACCAUAUCAAUGUAAGUAUCUAGACACGACUUUUUCUGAGGUCGAGUAAAAAAUAUCACAUCAAUUUUAAUCAAGUUAUAUUAUAAUUACUGACCAUGCAAAUCGAAUUUAAGAAUCACUGCAUGGGUGUCAUCACAGACAGGUCAACAUGAAUAUUAAAAAUAUUGAGAAAUUAAUUAUCUCAACUCUUUCAGAUUUCACUUGGUGUCAACCACACAAUAUUUAAUCGUCUUUGUGACUGUGUGAAUAGCCAGGAUAAAUGCCACCACAAGGUUUCACUUUUGUUUUAUAGGUAAACAUAUUUUUCUUGGAUGUAAUUUUUCCUCAUUUAAAAAAUGAUCUUUUCUGAAUUAAACAUUGUGACAGUCAAUAUUCAUUUUUAUUCCCAACGAAGUAUUUGUAGCGGCAUAAUGUCAACGUUACGAAUGUAGUUCGGGUUUAGGUAAACAAAACAGGAUAUUUUGGAAAUGCGAAUUCAAUGGUCUGUUGGGAUAAAAUAUGUGAUAAAAAGACCUCCCAUGGUUUGUGGCUGGAUAUGAUUAUUAUCCAAUUUGUUGUGUGUUUUCUAUUCCCUAGCUAAGCCUCGGGGAUAGAAAACAGACAACUCCUUGAGUGAUAAUUAUACCUAACCACCAACCAUAAGAUAAUCUAUAUAUGUUUCUGAACCCUUUGCACAUACACCUAACUGUUCUUGAAAAAUCUUGAAUAUUUAACUUGGCAUUUUACAUGUAUAGAUAGUAUUGACAGAGAAUGUAAUGACAAUGAAUAGAUCUAUUUUUGUUAUCUAUGUUAAGGUAUCAAUAUGUAAGCAAGACCGAUAUCAGGACAUCAUGGGUACUGCAUCCAAAAAGUGCACUGUUAAAAACAUCUAAACUGAUGGAGGAGCUAUUUCCAGCUCCACCUAAGUAGUAGAGAUAGCAAUCGAUCAGAAAAAUAAUCCCUUGUGGGGUAUGGUAAGAAAACAUUAGACUAACAACAUCACAUCUUGAUUCAGUGCUUGUAGGAUUGGGAUGGAACAGGUAUAUCCAUCGUUGUUUAAGCAACUCAUGGCCUCAUACAAUUUCUCAAAAAGAAAGGCCAUUAUUUGCAGUAGAAACAAUGAAUGUGUUGCAAAAGAAAAGUACUGUUCCUAUGGGGAUGCUGUAGUUUCAGAAACAGACAGAACUCUUUAUUUCAACUUUCUUUUAUGUGUUGUUGUAUAUGUUACCAAAAUGUCAUGUUAAUUCCUAUUAUGUCACAUGUGUUUAGCUUUUUAUAAUGAUCACUUUGUUCAGGUAGUCACAUGUAAGCAACCUAUGUUGUCAAACGUUCUGUUUUUAUUUGAUUUGCUAUCGUACACCCUGUAGUUUGUAAAAAGACCUCUUGCUAUAAUCUACUACAUAUAUAUCUAUAUUAAAGAUGUUUGAAUUCGGAGUUGAAUGACGAUAGAAGGAAAUAAAAACAGUUAUAAAUAAUAUAGAUAUAUGUGCAUUGUUUGCUUUUUUAUUCAGAAAAAGUUUUAAUCAAAUUUAUAAAUGAUUAUUCUUACGUUCCGUAGACUUGAGGUCCACUUUUUAUUUUUAUGUUCAUCUAGUAUGAACCAUGUUGUGUUAAAGACACUAACUUCUGUGAUCAUUGUUAUUGCGAUCAGUUUUAAUAUAUCUAUUGUUAUAAUUGUAGAUUGUAUUUAGGUAUGUAUUUAGAAUAUGUAUGUAUAAAGGUAUGUAUUUAACUAUUUCAAUGAUUGCUUAUAUUGUGUUGACACCACGGACAAAUAAAUCGUAAGCAAAACAAAAA
Molecule: long non-coding RNA, 3563 nt
Organism: Ostrea edulis (European flat oyster)
Lineage: Eukaryota; Metazoa; Mollusca; Bivalvia; Ostreida; Ostreidae
Exons: 3
Source: RefSeq, a predicted model, not a curated record